GUGGAUGUUCAGCAUUUUCUUUGGCACCCUCUUCUCUAACACUUUCUUGGUGUACAUACAAGACAAUGUGGGUUGGACUCUUGGCUAUGGCCUUCCUACAGCAGGAUUUGCAAUUUCCAUCUUUGUGUUCUUGAUGGGCACUCCUUUCUAUAGGCAUAAGUUGCCUGCUGGGAGUCCAUUCACUAAAAUUGCACAGGUUUUGAUUGCUGCUAUGAGGAAGUGGCAGGUACCUGUCCCAAAUGAUCCCAAAGAGCUCCAUGAACUUGGCAUAGACGAGUACUCCAAAUCUGCCAUAUUCAGAAUCGAUCACACCCCUUCCUUAAGAAUCCUCGACAAAGCUGCUGUAAAGAUUGCUGGAUCAAGAAGUUCACCAUGGAUGCUAUGUCCAGUGACUCAGGUAGAAGAAACCAAGCAAAUGAUAAAAAUGCUUCCAGUUUUACUGACAACAUUCAUACCCAGCGCCACCUUAGCUCAAGUAGGCACACUCUUCAUCAAACAAGGCACCACCCUGGAUAGAAGCAUGGGACCUCAUUUUGAAAUCCCUCCAGCAUGUCUCACAGCAUUUGUCACAAUCUCUAUGCUUAUAAGUCUUGUCCUAUAUGAUCGUUUCCUGGUGCCAGUCCUCAGCCGCUACACCAAUAACCCCAGAGGGAUCACAUUGCUUCAAAGAAUAGGAAUUGGUCUAAUCCUGCAUGUUCUCAUUAUGGUCACUGCAUGCUUAGUUGAAAGGAAGAGACUUAGUGUUGCAAGAGAUCAUAAUAUUGUUGGUAAACAUCAGAUAAUUCCUCUCAGUGUUUUCUUUCUCCUCCCUCAGUUUGCUUUGAUGGGGGUUGCUGAUACUUUCCUGGAAGUUGCAAAGCUAGAAUUAUUCUACGACCAAGCUCCAGAAGGAAUGAAGAGCUUGGGGACCUCAUAUUUCACUAGUAGCUUGGCAAUUGGGAAUUUUCUCAGUAGUUUUCUUCUCAAAACAGUUGCUGAUAUCACUAAGAAGCAUGGCCAUAAAGGGUGGAUUUUGGAUAAUCUGAACAUCUCUCACUUAGACUACUAUUAUGCAUUCUUGGCUGUGUUGAUGUUCCUCAACUUGCUAAUCUUCUUGGUUGUGGCCAAGUUCUUUGUUUACAAUAUCGAUGUGGACUCCAAAAGGGAAUUACAGGAUGCCAUUGGAGCUUCACCGGACAAGCUUCAUACCCAAGAUCACAAGGAAGACUUAAAGGCUGCACAAAAUUGAUAGGAGUUGAGACCCUCUUGGUAUAUUUCUUGCUUCUUGAAAUCUUCACACACCAAUGUAAUCUACAGAAAGAGGCAAGUGUACCAUUAUAAUAUAAAUGACAUUGGCAUAGUUCCCUUGUCUAUAAUUGAAAACAAGCUCCACCAUAGAUGGACCAUUAUUACUUGAUGCAUGUCAUUAUUUUUCCCGUCCAGAAAUGUAUUAUCACUUGAUGCAUUUCACUGAUUCAAGGGGAUCUAGAUAGGAUUGCAAGCGGUUUUGGUUUCAGUCUUGGUUCAUCCAGUUUCCUCAAAUCUAGAGGAUGAUAUUUUUUUCAAAAAAUAAUUAAAAGGAAAAUUUUGUUUUUAUCUAAAAUCAA
RNAcentral lists this unclassified non-coding RNA (1586 nucleotides) under Hevea brasiliensis (rubber tree). The record is from RNAcentral. Lineage: Eukaryota; Viridiplantae; Streptophyta; Magnoliopsida; Malpighiales; Euphorbiaceae.